GUGCUCGGUUUGUAGGCAGUGUAGUUAGCUGAUUGUAUUCUACUGCCUGCAAUCACUAACUCCACUGCCAUCAAAACAAGGCAC
RNAcentral lists this microRNA precursor (84 nucleotides) under Notamacropus eugenii (tammar wallaby). RNAcentral's name for it is "microRNA 34b (ENSMEUG00000017787.1)". The stretch from base 7 to 77 matches the Rfam family "mir-34 microRNA precursor family". Rfam says of the family: Human mir-34a was discovered computationally and later experimentally verified. The record is from RNAcentral. Lineage: Eukaryota; Metazoa; Chordata; Mammalia; Diprotodontia; Macropodidae.